AUUCCGUUAGCACAGAUUACGACUUUGUUUUGCAGCAUAACAAGAGGAGUAGCUUCUGUCGUCUGAGGGAGCCUUCUGAGAAUCAGCAGCGGGGUCCCUCGAGCCUAAGAAAGUGACACUUCUAUCCCGGCGCCACCCUGGACGCCUCUGCUCUUCUGGGGGCCUCUCGUCGACGACGGCGCUUUAUGAAACGUCACGUCGUUCCGGUUUUUCAAAAUGGCCGCGGUGUCGGCGGCAGUUCGCGUCCUGGGAGCUGCUCCUGCCUAUCGGGGGGCUCCGGUCUCCUUCACCUUUCCUUCGUAGGCUUGCUGGGCGGAGGCGCCCAAGAAUUCUGCGAUACUCCAAACUGGCCCUCGUUCGCAUUCAAAAUAAAUUAAAAAUGAAGCCAAGCAAGGUAUGUCAACGCGGUCUCUUACCGAGACUUAAAAUACGUUAUUUCGGAGGCCAAGUAUUAUUACGCAGGCUCCAAGAACAGGAAACACCUCGGCAAGGUAAGAUUUCGAGCCAGUUUAUGUGCUGGAAACAAGCUUCUGGGAUGCCAAGAACUCGCUCCGACAACAACGUUGGUUUCCACAAAGCUUCCCUACAGAGUCUGGGGGCCCUGCCAAACAUUGAAGGCUGCGUCCAUCCAUGGCUACAGAGUUUGUGCCCGGGGAGGUUGCCUAAGAUUAGGUGGAGGAAUCUUGUGCCCUGCAACCCUGACCUCUUACACCUGCAGCACCAGAUGACACAGCUCACAAUGUCUGAUAAUUCCUCUCUAAAUGAGCUGGGGGGGCAGGGAUGAGGGUAAAUGAAAGAUCCAUUGUGAAAGUGUUGGAUACACCCAGUUUUUCAAAAAUUAUAUGGAUGCUUUCCUGAGCCUAGUGACUUAAUGUUAAUAUUAGUCUAGCAUUAAAUAACAGACAAUCUACUGGAACGUUUUGUAACAUACUCAUAGGGGGUUUUGCAUUAAGUAAAAACAGACUCCAUCUGAAGGGAAGUAGUUUUCAUAUUAUACAUCUUUAGACAUCCAGCGUCACGGAGCUGUUUAGAGGAUACAACUUGGCAGGUUGCUGUAGGGAUUCUGGAGGAAUGAUGAUGUCAUCAAAGAACCCAAGUGAAACUACAAAAAAGAAGUUCAGAUUAAUAAAGAAGCAAGAUCGAUGCAAUGCGACUCCUAGAAUUUAAGCUUUCCCCAUGUCAUCACCUAGUGGCAUGUCCAAUAAGGAAUCUGAACCUAUGUCCAGCAUUCUUUCCGCUGUACUGUAAAUUUAAUAAAUGCAGAAUUGGAAUAUCCAUCAGGACAAUAAAGGAGAACAACUUUAAACCUCAAAUAUGUUUUUCCACCUUUCAUUCUAUAUUGACGUAUUUUUAUUUAUUUAUUUUUCAGAAAAGAAACUGAAGUUCAGUUCUUUUGGCAAUGUUUUGCUGCUAUUAAGGAGUGAUUCCAAACAUCUUAACCAUAGUAACUUCAAACUUUAUUAAUAGAACAGUCUUUCUUUUGAGACAUAUCUACUGGUUAUCUUGAUAUAAUAUUCCAGAAUUCUAGACACCCACUGUAGCCCUACCCAUAAUAUUCCUGUGAUUAUUUGGUGAAUUACUAGUAAAAGUUAAAAUUUACCC
Non-coding RNA from Podarcis muralis (Common wall lizard), 1602 nucleotides. The record is from RefSeq and is a predicted model, not a curated record. NCBI's taxonomy places the organism in Eukaryota, Metazoa, Chordata, Lepidosauria, Squamata, Lacertidae.